This 254-nucleotide ribosomal RNA is filed under the name uncultured bacterium. Its description in RNAcentral is "partial 16S ribosomal RNA". It matches the Rfam family "Bacterial small subunit ribosomal RNA", at positions 524 to 776 of the family's 1533-position model. The record is from RNAcentral.
UACGUAGGGUGCAAGCGUUGUCCGGAAUUACUGGGCGUAAAGAGCUCGUAGGUGGUUUGUCGCGUCGUCUGUGAAAUUCCGGGGCUUAACUCCGGGCGUGCAGGCGAUACGGGCAUAACUUGAGUGCUGUAGGGGAGACUGGAAUUCCUGGUGUAGCGGUGAAAUGCGCAGAUAUCAGGAGGAACACCGAUGGCGAAGGCAGAUCUCUGGGCCGUAACUGACGCUGAGGAGCGAAAGCAUGGGGAGCGAACAGG